CCUGGAUGUGGGUGUGUGUGUGUGUGUGUGGCAUGACAAAGUAGCAGUUAGCCAAAUCAUUCGGACCAUCUGCUGCCCUUCACAGCUCAUUGCUUUGAUGUACAACUCGAGAAGUGCUACGAACAACACGAUCACACAACUCUGCUAUCAGCGCUGUUCCCCCCACUGCUGGCAGCGAUGAGUAUAGCUCGAAACAGUAUGCUGAUAGAAAGUGAAGAGAAGACUAGAAUCCAAAGUUACCUCAAUGUGGCUCCAUGGUACAAGUUCUGCCAAACUUCCGACACUUUGCAGAGGAACUCAGCAAUUUAACACUUGAGUGCCUAGUGUGAGUUAUGAUUGAAAAGAAUCAUAAAAAAGGGCUUUUUCUCCUAAAUAAAAACAUCAAAUGAGCCAAUUGACAAAUGAAUCUGAAAUGAUUUGUGCAUUUGUGUUAAACUCUGAAUAAUCUCUGAAAUUAACUGACACAGACUGGAAGCCGCCCCCCAUCUCACAUGCUCUUUACUAGACUUGUGGAGUGCUGAGGUACAUCAGGUAUGUUUUGUGUUUAUUAAAAUGGAAAAAAGUAAUUAAAAUUAGACAGAUACAACUGAAGGG
This is a long non-coding RNA of Hemibagrus wyckioides, 594 nucleotides long. RefSeq lists it as uncharacterized. The transcript is spliced from 4 exons. The record is from RefSeq and is a predicted model, not a curated record. Lineage: Eukaryota; Metazoa; Chordata; Actinopteri; Siluriformes; Bagridae.